This 379-nucleotide long non-coding RNA is filed under the name Elaeis guineensis (African oil palm). RNAcentral's name for it is "long non-coding RNA (EGUI_LNC029794)". Lineage: Eukaryota; Viridiplantae; Streptophyta; Magnoliopsida; Arecales; Arecaceae. The record is from RNAcentral.
UACGAAACUCGAAAUCUGGAGCAGAGUAAAUCGAUUUGAGUGAGAUUGGGCUGGAGCAAUCUUUGCAAUCUGACAAAAACUCCUUCGAUCUGCAAAACUAGUCAAGAAACUGGAUGGAGAUCCUCCGAUUCUUGACCCUUCGAUGCUUAAGUUAGUUUGAGCUUUGAGAACAUGGGUGAAAAAGAGUGGAAGAGCAAGAAAAAUUGAAUGAAACUAAAAGAGAAUUGGGCAGAAGCCAAUAGUCUGGCUUAAUUUUCUAUUGACUGAGUUUCCUCUAAUUUUCGAGAGUAAAAUUUAUCAAUGGAGGAUCCCUGACCCUCUAUUUAUAGAGAAGUUGAGGAGACCGUUAGAAGAGUCUAUUAGACGAUUAGAGAACCAC